Long non-coding RNA from Thunnus maccoyii (southern bluefin tuna), 1226 nucleotides. RefSeq lists it as uncharacterized. Lineage: Eukaryota; Metazoa; Chordata; Actinopteri; Scombriformes; Scombridae. The record is from RefSeq and is a predicted model, not a curated record. The transcript is spliced from 3 exons.
AUAAUAAUAUAAAUUAUUACAAUAAUGUAUAAAAUGACAAUGUGUCAUGUCAGAGGCUCAUAGUGCAACUUGCUUCUGCUUCUCCCAAGUGGCAAAAAAAUCAGUUAUGGCAGAUUUAAGAAAACACAUUUUUGCAUAAUAGUUAUUUUUACUUACUGUAGGUACAAGAUGUGAAUACUUCUUCUGCCGCUGGGCACAUGUUAAGUUCAGUUACAGUUUUUUCUUUUUAAAAAAAAAAUAAAUUUAAAGUUAAGUUUGAAGCCACGCGAUAAGUUAUAUGUUAUGUAUAAAUAACAUUCAAUUAAAAGUAUGAGCUAAGUGUUGAGUUGCAGUUUAACUGACUUUUAGGCAAGGUAAGGCUAAGAUAGGAAUCUGCAUUCAGUUUAUGGCUUCACUGUCACAAGAGAUGUUUGUUGUACAUUUUUUGGUAUCAUUGUAUAUAUCGUGGCAGUAUAACACUUGCUGAAAGUAAACACCUUUGAUUUGUCCAAUAAAAUGUGUUGGCUGGAAAAGAUUUGACAUAAUUAGUUUCCUCUUACAGUAAUUCUGAAAACAAGAUGGUGUUUGAUGAAAAUUUAUUCCUUCAGACCUUCUCUCUCAAAACGUUAUUUAUUCGUGGAACACUGUGUCAUUGCACCAAAGACCACAAAAUAAUUGGUUAAAAGAACAGUUUUAGGAUACAGUAUGUGUAUCAAAGGAAUUAAAAUAAAAAACCUAAAUAUAACAGUGAAGACCUUUGAUACUAAUAUGGGUUAUGCCCAUUUUGCAGCACUUCUAUUAAAUGUGAAUUGUUAUUUAUAUGUGAAAAUUAAUAUUAGAUCAUGGCACAGUUUAACCCUGAGAGAUGAACUGCAGAAAUUAUUUUUGUUUCCACCCAAAGUGAAUCUCUGUUGCUGUGGAAUUGGACAGUUUGUCGAAAGCAAGGUGACCUUCAGCAUCAGACAGGGCGGGACACAUGAUGAUGAUGUCAUGGUGAUGUCAUCUAUCAGGAAGAAAGAGACAGGCAGGCAGACCCUGGUGGAGAGAUCUACUUGGAAACGUAGAGACAAAGAUGAAGAAGAGAAACAGGGACAGAAACUAAAAGACUGACAGAGGAAGAGGAAAAACUGACAGAAGACUAGUGCAGACACAGAAUAACACGGGACACAGAUCAGCAGCAGGACAAGACACAAACUUAUGAUUUGCCCUCCCCAUCCAGGCUCCAUAACUCACCACCGCGCCUGCCG